RNAcentral lists this long non-coding RNA (1164 nucleotides) under Populus trichocarpa (black cottonwood). RNAcentral describes it as "long non-coding RNA (PTRI_LNC000779)". Lineage: Eukaryota; Viridiplantae; Streptophyta; Magnoliopsida; Malpighiales; Salicaceae. The record is from RNAcentral.
CAUGGAAUAAUUUAGCUACCGCCACUAAAACUAUAGAAAGAGCUCAGCUCGGACAUACAAUACUGGAAAUGUUGUUAGGCAGAGGUUCAACAACUUCUUGAUAUCCAAACUAUCAUGUUGGCAAUCACAUGACAUUUACAUAAACACAUGAUCAAUUUAAAAUUUCCACCAGUAUCAUGUUCAUUUCUAUUUACUAAAUGUUUGAUGUUUGAUUUACUCUAAGCUUUCACAUGAUUAGAUCUGGAUGUGACCAUGCUCUACUCUAUUUUUUCAAUCAAAUUAUAAAAGCUAUAUAUCUUAUGGCGCACGGCGGUUGAUCCAUAACAAAUUCACUUCUCCAAAGAAUCAGAGAGACAUGGAUUUAUUUCUAGGACUCUUACAGGUUCAUUUCUAUUUACUAAAUGUUUGAUGUUUGAUUUACUCUAAGCUUUCACAUGAUUAGAUCUGGAUGUGACCAUGCUCUACUCUAUUGUUAAUUAGGCGUAUGGAUUUAUUUCUAGGACUCUUACAGGGUCUUUCGUGUCCCUAUAUAAGCACACUUGAAUGUUGUACAAAGGAGUCCAAUUUAUGAAUUAAACUGAGAAUUUUCGAUUGUAAUUUUGAGAGGUGGAUCUCCUCUUUUUUCUAUGUUCUUGUGGAUUCAAGUACUAUUAUAUUUUAUCUUUUCUUCAAACCCCUUUCCCUUAUAAGUCCAUCUCGUCCUAGAUCAGGAGACCACAAAUAUAGGAAGACAAACAAUCUCUAACACUUGCACGCAUGCGCACCAAAACAGACUCGACUUUUGAAGGCACAAAGAUGUUACUUCAGCAGCUAUUGUUAAUGACACCUUUACUGUGAAACGGUAUUGACACUCCAAAAAAGUUUAACCACACUCCCACUAUUCUAUACUUUGAUGCAAAAAUUAAAAACAAAGGUGGAACAAUGGGAGUGUGGUUCAACAUUUUUUGGAUUACCACUAUCACCGCCCCUUUAGCUGCCGUAGAAUGCACACUUUUCUAGCAAAAGAUCCAUUUGGUAUUGUCAUCCCAUGGGACAGCAGUGCAAAUUCUAAAAUUUUGAGGAACUUCCCCAAAACUCAUCCCUUUUGGAGUGUUAUCCUGCGAGCACCAACAUCAAACAAAUAGCAAUUAAGACAAACUUGUACGCACUCAUGGAGCAUAGAUG